UACGAAGGGGGCAAGCGUUGUUCGGAAUUACUGGGCGUAAAGGGCGCGUAGGCGGCUUAUCAAGUCAGGCGUGAAAUUCCCGGGCUCAACCUGGGGGCUGCGCUUGAUACUGAUGAGCUUGAAUGCGGGAGAGGAUAGUGGAAUUCCCAGUGUAGAGGUGAAAUUCGUAGAUAUCGGAAGGAACAUCAGUGGCGAAAGCGGCUUCCUGGACCCCAUCUGACGCUGAGGCGCGAAAGCCAGGGGAGCGAACGGG
RNAcentral lists this ribosomal RNA (253 nucleotides) under uncultured bacterium. Its description in RNAcentral is "partial 16S ribosomal RNA". It matches the Rfam family "Bacterial small subunit ribosomal RNA", at positions 524 to 776 of the family's 1533-position model. The record is from RNAcentral.